CACUUCUAAGGAAGGCAGCAGGCGCGCAAAUUACCCAAUCCUGACUCAGGGAGGUAGUGACAAGAAAUAACAAUAAACCGGCUUAUGCCGGUUUAAUUGGAAUGAGUACAAUUUAAACAUCUUAACGAGGAACAAUUGGAGGGCAAGUCUGGUGCCAGCAGCCGCGGUAAUUCCAGCUCCAAUAGCGUAUACUAAAGUUGUUGCAGUUAAAAAGCUCGUAGUUGGAUUUCUGUGGGGACGGAGCGGCCGGCCGCACAUCGCGGUUCGAGCUAGCGCUUUCCCUACAUCCUGCCGCGAACCGUGCUACCAUUAGUUUGGUGGCGCCGGGGAUCGGCUCGAUUACUUUGAGAAAAAUAGAGUGUUCAAAGCAGGCCACAUGCCUUGAAUAAGUUAGCAUGGAAUAAUAACUAAGGACUUCGGUUCUAUUUUGUUGGUGUUCGGGACUGAAGUAAUGAUUGAUAGGGACAGUUGGGGCGGUCUGUAUUCCAAAGCGAGAGGUGAAAUUCUUAGACCUUCGGAAGACAAACAACUGCGAAAGCGUUCCGCAAGGAUGUUCCCUUUGAUCAAGAACGAAAGUUGGGGGAUCGAAGACGAUCAGAUACCGUCGUAGUCUCAACUAUAAACUAUACCAGCUAGGGAUCGGCCAACGUUAUUUUAUACCGACUUGGUCGGCACCUUAUGAGAAAUCAAAGCAUCUGGGUUCCGGGGGGAGUAUGGUCGCAAGGCUGAAACUUAAAGGAAUUGACGGAAGGGCACCGCCAGCCGUGGAGCCUGUGGCUUAAUUUGACUCAACACGGGAAAACUUACCAGGUCCAGACAUAGUAAGGAUUGACAGAUUGAUAGCUCUUUCUUGAUUCUGUGGGUGGUGGUGCAUGGCCGUUCUUAGUUGGUGGAGUGGUUUGUCUGGUUAAUUCCGUUAACGAACGAGACCCCAGCCUGCUAAAUAGCGCGUGUGAGCUUUGCUCGCAGCGAGCUUCUUAGAGGGACUAUGAUGCGCGAUAGCACAUGGAAGUUUGGGGCAAUAACAGGUCUGUGAUGCCCUUAGAUGUUCUGGGCCGCACACGGGCUACACUGGCGCCUGCAACGAGCAUAUCAGCUGGCCCGAGAGGGUCUUGGCUAAUCUUUUGAACCGGCGCCGUGCUUGGGAUUGACCUUUGCAAUUGUUGGUCAUGCAACGAGGAAUGCCUUGUAAACGCGAGUCAUCAGCUCGCAUUGAAUACGUCCCUGCCCUUUGUACACACCGCCCGUCGCUCCUACCGAUGAAUGUUCCGAUGAAAUUUUCGGAGAGUGCCUGUGAACUUGGCUCUGCCUUGCGAACGGGAAGCUCAAAGUCACUUAAAUCUGAACAUUUCGAGG
This 1356-nucleotide ribosomal RNA is filed under the name uncultured marine eukaryote. Its description in RNAcentral is "SSU rRNA". It matches the Rfam family "Eukaryotic small subunit ribosomal RNA", at positions 411 to 1779 of the family's 1831-position model. The record is from RNAcentral.